Molecule: ribosomal RNA, 253 nt
Filed under: uncultured bacterium
Lineage: Bacteria
Description: partial 16S ribosomal RNA
Rfam family: Bacterial small subunit ribosomal RNA
Source: RNAcentral
UACGUAGGGCGCAAGCGUUGUCCGGAAUUAUUGGGCGUAAAGAGCUCGUAGGUGGUUUGUUACGUCUGCUGUGAAAACCUAGGGCUUAACCCUGGGCCUGCAGUGGAUACGGGCAGACUAGAGUGCUGUAGGGGAGACUGGAAUUCCUGGUGUAGCGGUGAAAUGCGCAGAUAUCAGGAGGAACACCGGUGGCGAAGGCGGGUCUCUGGGCAGUAACUGACGCUGAGGAGCGAAAGCGUGGGGAGCAAACAGG